This 2903-nucleotide ribosomal RNA is filed under the name Staphylococcus aureus. Its description in RNAcentral is "partial 23S ribosomal RNA". It matches the Rfam family "Bacterial large subunit ribosomal RNA". The record is from RNAcentral. Lineage: Bacteria; Bacillati; Bacillota; Bacilli; Caryophanales; Staphylococcaceae.
ACGGUGGAUGCCUUGGCACUAGAAGCCGAUGAAGGACGUUACUAACGACGAUAUGCUUUGGGGAGCUGUAAGUAAGCUUUGAUCCAGAGAUUUCCGAAUGGGGAAACCCAGCAUGAGUUAUGUCAUGUUAUCGAUAUGUGAAUACAUAGCAUAUCAGAAGGCACACCCGGAGAACUGAAACAUCUUAGUACCCGGAGGAAGAGAAAGAAAAUUCGAUUCCCUUAGUAGCGGCGAGCGAAACGGGAAGAGCCCAAACCAACAAGCUUGCUUGUUGGGGUUGUAGGACACUCUAUACGGAGUUACAAAGGACGACAUUAGACGAAUCAUCUGGAAAGAUGAAUCAAAGAAGGUAAUAAUCCUGUAGUCGAAAAUGUUGUCUCUCUUGAGUGGAUCCUGAGUACGACGGAGCACGUGAAAUUCCGUCGGAAUCUGGGAGGACCAUCUCCUAAGGCUAAAUACUCUCUAGUGACCGAUAGUGAACCAGUACCGUGAGGGAAAGGUGAAAAGCACCCCGGAAGGGGAGUGAAAUAGAACCUGAAACCGUGUGCUUACAAGUAGUCAGAGCCCGUUAAUGGGUGAUGGCGUGCCUUUUGUAGAAUGAACCGGCGAGUUACGAUUUGAUGCAAGGUUAAGCAGUAAAUGUGGAGCCGUAGCGAAAGCGAGUCUGAAUAGGGCGUUUAGUAUUUGGUCGUAGACCCGAAACCAGGUGAUCUACCCUUGGUCAGGUUGAAGUUCAGGUAACACUGAAUGGAGGACCGAACCGACUUACGUUGAAAAGUGAGCGGAUGAACUGAGGGUAGCGGAGAAAUUCCAAUCGAACCUGGAGAUAGCUGGUUCUCUCCGAAAUAGCUUUAGGGCUAGCCUCAAGUGAUGAUUAUUGGAGGUAGAGCACUGUUUGGACGAGGGGCCCCUCUCGGGUUACCGAAUUCAGACAAACUCCGAAUGCCAAUUAAUUUAACUUGGGAGUCAGAACAUGGGUGAUAAGGUCCGUGUUCGAAAGGGAAACAGCCCAGACCACCAGCUAAGGUCCCAAAAUAUAUGUUAAGUGGAAAAGGAUGUGGCGUUGCCCAGACAACUAGGAUGUUGGCUUAGAAGCAGCCAUCAUUUAAAGAGUGCGUAAUAGCUCACUAGUCGAGUGACACUGCGCCGAAAAUGUACCGGGGCUAAACAUAUUACCGAAGCUGUGGAUUGUCCUUUGGACAAUGGUAGGAGAGCGUUCUAAGGGCGUUGAAGCAUGAUCGUAAGGACAUGUGGAGCGCUUAGAAGUGAGAAUGCCGGUGUGAGUAGCGAAAGACGGGUGAGAAUCCCGUCCACCGAUUGACUAAGGUUUCCAGAGGAAGGCUCGUCCGCUCUGGGUUAGUCGGGUCCUAAGCUGAGGCCGACAGGCGUAGGCGAUGGAUAACAGGUUGAUAUUCCUGUACCACCUAUAAUCGUUUUAAUCGAUGGGGGGACGCAGUAGGAUAGGCGAAGCGUGCGAUUGGAUUGCACGUCUAAGCAGUAAGGCUGAGUAUUAGGCAAAUCCGGUACUCGUUAAGGCUGAGCUGUGAUGGGGAGAAGACAUUGUGUCUUCGAGUCGUUGAUUUCACACUGCCGAGAAAAGCCUCUAGAUAGAAAAUAGGUGCCCGUACCGCAAACCGACACAGGUAGUCAAGAUGAGAAUUCUAAGGUGAGCGAGCGAACUCUCGUUAAGGAACUCGGCAAAAUGACCCCGUAACUUCGGGAGAAGGGGUGCUCUUUAGGGUUAACGCCCAGAAGAGCCGCAGUGAAUAGGCCCAAGCGACUGUUUAUCAAAAACACAGGUCUCUGCUAAACCGUAAGGUGAUGUAUAGGGGCUGACGCCUGCCCGGUGCUGGAAGGUUAAGAGGAGUGGUUAGCUUCUGCGAAGCUACGAAUCGAAGCCCCAGUAAACGGCGGCCGUAACUAUAACGGUCCUAAGGUAGCGAAAUUCCUUGUCGGGUAAGUUCCGACCCGCACGAAAGGCGUAACGAUUUGGGCACUGUCUCAACGAGAGACUCGGUGAAAUCAUAGUACCUGUGAAGAUGCAGGUUACCCGCGACAGGACGGAAAGACCCCGUGGAGCUUUACUGUAGCCUGAUAUUGAAAUUCGGCACAGCUUGUACAGGAUAGGUAGGAGCCUUUGAAACGUGAGCGCUAGCUUACGUGGAGGCGCUGGUGGGAUACUACCCUAGCUGUGUUGGCUUUCUAACCCGCACCACUUAUCGUGGUGGGAGACAGUGUCAGGCGGGCAGUUUGACUGGGGCGGUCGCCUCCUAAAAGGUAACGGAGGCGCUCAAAGGUUCCCUCAGAAUGGUUGGAAAUCAUUCAUAGAGUGUAAAGGCAUAAGGGAGCUUGACUGCGAGACCUACAAGUCGAGCAGGGUCGAAAGACGGACUUAGUGAUCCGGUGGUUCCGCAUGGAAGGGCCAUCGCUCAACGGAUAAAAGCUACCCCGGGGAUAACAGGCUUAUCUCCCCCAAGAGUUCACAUCGACGGGGAGGUUUGGCACCUCGAUGUCGGCUCAUCGCAUCCUGGGGCUGUAGUCGGUCCCAAGGGUUGGGCUGUUCGCCCAUUAAAGCGGUACGCGAGCUGGGUUCAGAACGUCGUGAGACAGUUCGGUCCCUAUCCGUCGUGGGCGUAGGAAAUUUGAGAGGAGCUGUCCUUAGUACGAGAGGACCGGGAUGGACAUACCUCUGGUGUACCAGUUGUCGUGCCAACGGCAUAGCUGGGUAGCUAUGUGUGGACGGGAUAAGUGCUGAAAGCAUCUAAGCAUGAAGCCCCCCUCAAGAUGAGAUUUCCCAACUUCGGUUAUAAGAUCCCUCAAAGAUGAUGAGGUUAAUAGGUUCGAGGUGGAAGCAUGGUGACAUGUGGAGCUGACGAAUACUAAUCGAUCGAAGACUUAAUCAA